CGAUUCCGACUUCACGCAGUCGAGUUGCAGACUGCGAUCCGGACUACGACCGGUUUUCUGGGAUUGGCUCCCCCUCGCGGGUUGGCAGCCCUCUGUACCGGCCAUUGUAUGACGUGUGAAGCCCUACCCAUAAGGGCCAUGAGGACUUGACGUCAUCCCCACCUUCCUCCGGUUUGUCACCGGCAGUCUCCUUAGAGUGCUCUUGCGUAGCAACUAACGACAAGGGUUGCGCUCGUUGCGGGACUUAACCCAACAUCUCACGACACGAGCUGACGACAGCCAUGCAGCACCUGUGUAUCGGUUCUCUUUCGAGCACUCCCGCCUCUCAGCAGGAUUCCGACCAUGUCAAGGGUAGGUAAGGUUUUUCGCGUUGCAUCGAAUUAAUCCACAUCAUCCACCGCUUGUGCGGGUCCCCGUCAAUUCCUUUGAGUUUUAAUCUUGCGACCGUACUCCCCAGGCGGUCAACUUCACGCGUUAGCUACGUUACUAAGGAAAUGAAUCCCCAACAACUAGUUGACAUCGUUUAGGGCG
Molecule: ribosomal RNA, 531 nt
Filed under: uncultured bacterium
Lineage: Bacteria
Description: partial 16S ribosomal RNA
Source: RNAcentral